This 497-nucleotide ribosomal RNA is filed under the name uncultured bacterium. RNAcentral's name for it is "partial 16S ribosomal RNA". It matches the Rfam family "Bacterial small subunit ribosomal RNA", at positions 28 to 507 of the family's 1533-position model. The record is from RNAcentral.
GAUGAACGUUGGCGGCGUGCCUAAUACAUGCAAGUCGAGCGAACAGACGAGGAGCUUACUCCUCUGACGUUAGCGGCGGACGGGUGAGUAACACGUGGAUAACCUACCUAUAAGACUGGGAUAACUUCGGGAAACCGGAGCUAAUACCGGAUAACAUGUUGAACCGCAUGGUUCAACAGUGAAAGACGGUCUUGCUGUCACUUAUAGAUGGAUCCGCGUCGCAUUAGCUAGUUGGUAAGGUAACGGCUUACCAAGGCAACGAUGCGUAGCCGACCUGAGAGGGUGAUCGGCCACACUGGAACUGAGACACGGUCCAGACUCCUACGGGAGGCAGCAGUAGGGAAUCUUCCGCAAUGGGCGAAAGCCUGACGGAGCAACGCCGCGUGAGUGAAGAAGGUCUUCGGAUCGUAAAACUCUGUUAUUAGGGAAGAACAAAUGUGUAAGUAACUAUGCACGUCUUGACGGUACCUAAUCAGAAAGCCACGGCUAACUACGUG